This 460-nucleotide ribosomal RNA is filed under the name uncultured bacterium. RNAcentral's name for it is "partial 16S ribosomal RNA". It matches the Rfam family "Bacterial small subunit ribosomal RNA", at positions 338 to 795 of the family's 1533-position model. The record is from RNAcentral.
CCUACGGGAGGCUGCAGUGAGGAAUAUUGGUCAAUGGGCUUACGCCUGAACCAGCCUAGUCGCGUGAGGGAAGACUGCCCUAUGGGUUGUAAACCUCUUUUGUCAGGGAGCAAUUGGCGCUACGUGUAGCGUUAUCGAGAGUACCUGAAGAAAAAGCAUGGGCUAACUCGGUGCCAGCAGCCGCGGUAAUACGGAGGAUGCGAGCGUUAUCCGGAUUUAUUGGGUUUAAAGGGUGCGUAGGCGGAAUGCCAAGUCAGCGGGAAAAUCGCGGGGCUCAACCUCGUUCCGCCGUUGAAACUGGCGUUCUUGAGUGGGCGAGAAGUAGGCGGAAUGCGUGGUGUAGCGGUGAAAUGCAUAGAUAUCACGCAGAACUCCGAUUGCGAAGGCAGCAUACCGGCGCCCAACUGACGCUGAAGCACGAAAGUGUGGGUAUCGAACAGGAUUAGAUACCCUAGUAGUC